CCCUGCCCUUUGUACACACCGCCCGUCGCUAGUACCGAUUGAAUGGCUUAGUGAGACCUCCGGAUGUGCGAUUUUCUGGUGGCAACAUCAGUAAUUUGCGUAGAAGCUGGUCAAACUUGGUCAUUUAGAGGAAC
RNAcentral lists this ribosomal RNA (134 nucleotides) under uncultured eukaryote. Its description in RNAcentral is "partial small subunit ribosomal RNA". It matches the Rfam family "Eukaryotic small subunit ribosomal RNA", at positions 1651 to 1782 of the family's 1831-position model. The record is from RNAcentral.